GAGGUCAUUAAGUGGCCUGUGGUCUGAGGCAGGUGCAACGUGAGAAAUCCAGAGAAUCAUGAGGGGGUAGGGCAGGCUUAGAAAAGGGAGAAUCUGCUGCCAGAGAGGCCAGAUGCCAUGAGUCCAAAGGAAUCAUCCCGCCCCCAGCAGACAAGCGUGGAGCCAGCCUGCUCCUCUGGCCAAAGCAUUCCACCCCCGGACCUCUCCUCCAGAGCCCAGCUCCCACUGAAGGCAUAUGACCCAGAUCCUGAGAACCAGAUGCACCGGCCUGAGCUUUCGUCAGAAGCAAGGACACACAGAACCUUUCUUAGAGGCAUCAUUAGAGGACCGGACAUGGUGGCCAGAGGCUGCAGGGACAGAAGUCCCAGGGCCAUGUCCAGGAACUGGGCUCAGGGGACCUCCUGGUGCCACCUGCAUAUCUGAGCCCAUGGAGUUCCUCUGGUCUAUUCAGUUCUCUCAUUUUAACUUAAUUUUGUUUUUGUAGGCUUUCUUAAAAAAUUGCCCAGU
This 507-nucleotide long non-coding RNA is filed under the name Homo sapiens (human). Its description in RNAcentral is "long intergenic non-protein coding RNA 840". Lineage: Eukaryota; Metazoa; Chordata; Mammalia; Primates; Hominidae. The record is from RNAcentral.